UACGGAGGGUGCAAGCGUUGCUCGGAAUUAUUGGGCGUAAAGGGUAGGUAGGUGGUCUCAUUUGUCUGAGGUGAAAGCCUUGAGCUUAACUCAAGAAGUGCCUUAGAAACGGUGAGACUAGAGUUCUGGAGAGGGUCGUGGAAUUCCCGGUGUAGCGGUGAAAUGCGUAGAGAUCGGGAGGAACACCAGAGGCGAAGGCGGCGACCUGGACAGAUACUGACACUCAACUACGAAAGCGUGGGGAGCAAACAGG
This 253-nucleotide ribosomal RNA is filed under the name Pseudomonadota bacterium. RNAcentral's name for it is "partial 16S ribosomal RNA". It matches the Rfam family "Bacterial small subunit ribosomal RNA", at positions 524 to 776 of the family's 1533-position model. The record is from RNAcentral. RNAcentral also lists the same sequence under 1 other name. Lineage: Bacteria; Pseudomonadati; Pseudomonadota.